Molecule: non-coding RNA, 86 nt
Organism: Marasmius oreades (fairy-ring Marasmius)
Lineage: Eukaryota; Fungi; Basidiomycota; Agaricomycetes; Agaricales; Marasmiaceae
Source: the annotation of a RefSeq genome assembly
GGCAAGAUGGCCGAGUGGUCUAAGGCGCUAGAUUUAGGAAUUCUGACUCUAGUCUUCGGGCGUGGGUUCGAAUCCCACUCUUGUCA